AUACGGAGGGUGCAAGCGUUAAUCGGAAAUACUGGGCGUAAAGCGUACGUAGGCGGUCCGUUAAGUUAGAUGUGAAAGCCCCGGGCUUAACCUGGGAACUGCAUUUAAAACUGGCGAACUAGAGUUGAGUAGAGGGGAGUGGAAUUUCAGGUGUAGCGGUGAAAUGCGUAGAGAUCUGAAGGAACACCAGUGGCGAAGGCGACUCCCUGGACUCGAACUGACGCUGAGGUACGAAAGCGUGGGUAGCAAACGGGAUUAGAUACCCCAGUAGUCC
This 274-nucleotide ribosomal RNA is filed under the name uncultured bacterium. RNAcentral's name for it is "partial 16S ribosomal RNA". It matches the Rfam family "Bacterial small subunit ribosomal RNA", at positions 523 to 796 of the family's 1533-position model. The record is from RNAcentral.